RNAcentral lists this ribosomal RNA (462 nucleotides) under uncultured bacterium. Its description in RNAcentral is "bacterial SSU rRNA". It matches the Rfam family "Bacterial small subunit ribosomal RNA", at positions 8 to 518 of the family's 1533-position model. The record is from RNAcentral.
AGGGUUCGAUUCUGGCUCAGAACGAACGCUGGCGGCAGGCUUAACACAUGCAAGUCGAACGCACCGCAAGGUGAGUGGCAGACGGGUGAGUAACGCGUGGGCACCUUCCCUUUGGUACGGAAUAACUUCGGGAAACCGAAGCUAAUACCGUAUAUCUCCUCCGGGAGAAAGAUUUAUCGCCAAAGGAUGGGCCCGCGUUGGAUUAGCUAGUUGGUAGGGUAAUGGCCUACCAAGGCGACGAUCCAUAGCUGGUCUGAGAGGAUGAUCAGCCACACUGGGACUGAGACACGGCCCAGACUCCUACGGGAGGCAGCAGUGGGGAAUAUUGGACAAUGGGCGCAAGCCUGAUCCAGCCAUGCCGCGUGAGUGAAGAAGGCCUUAGGGUUGUAAAGCUCUUUUGGCGGGGACGAUAAUGACGGUACCCGCAGAAUAAGCCCCGGCUAACUUCGUGCCAGCCGCAGC